Non-coding RNA from Podarcis lilfordi (Lilford's wall lizard), 160 nucleotides. The record is from the annotation of a GenBank genome assembly. Lineage: Eukaryota; Metazoa; Chordata; Lepidosauria; Squamata; Lacertidae.
UGGAAAGGCAGCAUUGGAAAUAAAAUGAUGAUGAUGAUGAUGAUGAUGGGAAACCUCUUGAACGUGUGCUUUUCAGGUGCAGGAACAGUGAAGUGUGGAUGAGCUCUGUGUGUGUGUGUGUGUGUGUGUGUGUGUGUGUGUGUACACUUUCUUUCUCUUA